This is a long non-coding RNA of Lolium perenne, 1679 nucleotides long. RefSeq lists it as uncharacterized. Lineage: Eukaryota; Viridiplantae; Streptophyta; Magnoliopsida; Poales; Poaceae. The record is from RefSeq and is a predicted model, not a curated record.
ACAAAUCGUCGCAUGUUUUCUGUACCCCAGGAUUAGUAACCCUAAUAGUUUGCUACCCUAGAGAAAGAAACUCACGCCUCAUCCCACCAAAUCUGAUCUGAGAUGGGAAAAUAUAUUCACGCCGGCGUGUCCCAUCCACACGCGGCGACCUCUUUUGCGCCGCCGAUCUUCAGAGCGCCGCCGGCUCUUCCUCCCGCUCCUCCACGCCGCCCCCCUCUCUUCCGGUAUCCCUAGUUCACUCGUCGGCAUCACCUCUGCAACCUCGACCCUCUCUUUCCAAGGACAUACAGGUCAGGAGCCAGCAAUCUCUCCACCCACACCAGCGUUCAGGGCGCUCCCGCGGUGGCUAGAGACGAACUCCUCUCCUUCGUGAAGGCCCCGCGCGCUUAUUUGUGCAGCCUGCAGAAUUCUAGUUCACGCAAGGAUACAUCCUCAGGUUAGAUCACCGUUUGCCUUCCAUACUAUAUGCAUACAGAUAAGGUGUUUGAUAGUUUUACAUAGAUAAAUGUGUUUCUGUUUCCGGUUAACUGCUACAACAUGGCAUCAGGUUGGGCUUAAAUUUUUGUUAGACUGCUAUUUUUCUGAAGUUUUUUACUGAGCGAAAUUCUAAAUGAUGUCACGAGGUACCAAACCUCCAUCAGAUUUAUCCCCCGCUCGUGAACUCUGACUAUGCUAUAUGUAUUGCAGGCUGUGUUAGAAUUUUUUGAUUUAAUUUGAUUGUGCAUCAAUUAUUAGCUGAUGAUGAUGUACAUCAGUGCUUGGCAAGGUUUGUCACUCUCCCGCAAGUGAGAUUCUAUUAGAUGUAGAUGGACAUGCUUCGCCCCUCUGUAUUAAUAUGAGCUGUGCAAAAAACAAGCUAAAAUAUCGAAGUGAAGAGAUGGUGUUCCUUUGUUAUGGAUACUGCCUCUAAUAGUAAAAUACUUCGGUGCUGCUGUGUUAAUGCUUGGUCGUUGAGCGUGGGAAUAUAUCUACGCAAUUCCAUAUUCUUUCGGUAUAAUCCAUUUGUCUUGUUUAGCCAGUGCAGGAUAUGUUGAUGGUUUGAUAGGAGCCUUUUUAAACUUUGCUCUAUUUGAGGAGAGAACAAAAAUUUACAAGGUAGCAAACCACAGUUCUCAGGAGUCACUAGUUUCCAGAAAAUGAUGUAAUGCAUGUUCAAAACAAUAUUUACUCUUCAAAUGUAUAUACUCAUAUACUACAUAGUAAAUUUCUCUUAUUGGUGUGCCUAUCCAAAAGUGAGACUUACUAAUGAAGUGUUCUAGUUAAUCUACUGGUACUUUGAUUUCACUUUCUGUACAGGGCAACCAUUUCAGAUGCUUUUUGAAGUUGGACAACAAAAAUAUCCUUUCGGCGGUUUUAGGGGAAGCCUUCUUUGUGCCGUGAAAUUCAGUCACUUUUACCAUAAUAUUGUUCAUCAGUUUGCGCGACAUAUCAUGAAUAUGUGCUCUACAGCAAAGAGGGAGAGGAUGAACCAACAAAAUAUAGCCCUGGCAGUAUCGUGCCAUCUGGACUGGACAUGCAGCUAGUUGAAAUAUCUAUUAUGGAUGUGAAAGUUCCAGUUUCAUCAAGUUUAUUAUCUUCUGAUGCAAAACCAUGCCCUCUCAAGUCGUGGAUGGAUAUCUAAGGAGAAGUUAAUAUGGUGGCUUGCAAGCUCAUGUACUAUUAACUGUAUACAAGAUCUU